GCACAUCUAUGGGCCGUAACUGACGCUGAGGAGCGAAAGCGUGGGGAGCGAACAGGAUUAGAUACCCUGGUAGUCCACGCCGUAAACGGUGGGUGCUAGUUGUGGGCCACAUUCCACGUGGUCCGUGACGAAGUUAACACAUUAAGCACCCCGCCUGGGGAGUACGGUCGCAAGACUAAAACUCAAAGGAAUUGACGGGGGCCCGCACAAGCGGCGGAGCAUGCGGAUUAAUUCGAUGCAACGCGAAGAACCUUACCAAGGCUUGACAUAUAGAGGAAACGUGCAGAAAUGUACGCCCCGCAAGGUCUCUAUACAGGUGGUGCAUGGUUGUCGUCAGCUCGUGUCGUGAGAUGUUGGGUUAAGUCCCGCAACGAGCGCAACCCUUAUCAUUAGUUGCUACGCAAGGGCACUCUAAUGAGACUGCCGGUGACAAACCGGAGGAAGGUGGGGAUGACGUCAAGUCCUCAUGGCCCUUAUGGGUAGGGCUUCACACGUCAUACAAUGGUCGGUACAGAGGGUUGCCAAGCCGCGAGGUGGAGCCAAUCCCAGAAAGCCGAUCGUAGUCCGGAUUGUUCUCUGCAACUCGAGAGCAUGAAGUCGGAAUCGCUAGUAAUCGCGGAUCAGCAUGUCGCGGUGAAUACGUUCCCGGGUCUUGUACACACCGCCCGUAAGGG
This 674-nucleotide ribosomal RNA is filed under the name uncultured archaeon. RNAcentral's name for it is "bacterial SSU rRNA". It matches the Rfam family "Bacterial small subunit ribosomal RNA", at positions 721 to 1402 of the family's 1533-position model. The record is from RNAcentral.